ACUCCUACGGGAGGCAGCAGUAAGGAAUAUUGGUCAAUGGACGCAAGUCUGAACCAGCCAUGCCGCGUGCAGGAAGACAGCCUUAUGGGUUGUAAACUGCUUUUAUACAGGAAUAAACCAUCCUACGUGUAGGGUGCUGAAGGUACUGUAAGAAUAAGCACCGGCUAACUCCGUGCCAGCAGCCGCGGUAAUACGGAGGGUGCAAGCGUUAUCCGGAUUUAUUGGGUUUAAAGGGUGCGCAGGCGGACCUAUCAGUCAGUGGUGAAAUCCCGAGGCUCAACCUCGGAACUGCCAUUGAUACUGUAGGUCUUGAGUUUGGUUGAAGUGGGCGGAAUGUAGCAUGUAGCGGUGAAAUGCAUAGAUAUGCUACAGAACACCGAUCGCGAAGGCAGCUCACUAAACCAAAACUGACGCUCAGGCACGAAAGCGUGGGUAGCGAACAGGAUUAGAUACCCUGGUAGUCCACGCCGUAAACGAUGAUCACUCGUUGUUGGCGACACACAGUCAGCGACCAAGCGAAAGCGAUAAGUGAUCCACCUGGGGAGUACGUUCGCAAGAAUGAAACUCAAAGGAAUUGACGGGGGCCCGCACAAGCGGUGGAGCAUGUGGUUUAAUUCGAUGAUACGCGAGGAACCUUACCUGGGCUCAAAUGUAAGUUGACGUAUUGGGAAACCAAUAUUUCUUCGGACAAUUUACAAGGUGCUGCAUGGUUGUCGUCAGCUCGUGCCGUGAGGUGUCGGGUUAAGUCCCAUAACGAGCGCAACCCCUAUCAUUAGUUGCCAUCAGGUCAAGCUGGGGACUCUAGUGAAACUGCCUACGCAAGUAGAGAGGAAGGUGGGGAUGACGUCAAAUCAGCACGGGCCCUUACGUCCAGGGCUACACACGUGCUACAAUGGCCGGUACAGAGGGCAGCCACCACGCGAGUGGGAGCGAAUCUCGAAAGCGGUCUCAGUUCGGAUCGAAGUCUGCAACCUCGACUUCGUGAAGCUGGAUCGCUAGUAAUCGCGCAUCAGUCAUGACGCGAUGAUACGUUUGCUGACCUUGCACACUCGAUCCGUCAGCGAAUCAGUCAACUGGCCGGCCGCGAUUUAC
RNAcentral lists this ribosomal RNA (1092 nucleotides) under uncultured Bacteroidota bacterium. RNAcentral's name for it is "bacterial SSU rRNA". It matches the Rfam family "Bacterial small subunit ribosomal RNA", at positions 335 to 1429 of the family's 1533-position model. Lineage: Bacteria; Pseudomonadati; Bacteroidota. The record is from RNAcentral.